GGCCGACUAGCUCAGUUGGUUAGAGCGUGGUGCUAAUAUGGCUUACGUAAAACCCAAUUAUGUAAUGCUUACGUAACGCCAAGGUCGUCGGUUCGAUCCCGGCGUUGGCCA
Molecule: non-coding RNA, 111 nt
Organism: Fomitopsis serialis
Lineage: Eukaryota; Fungi; Basidiomycota; Agaricomycetes; Polyporales; Fomitopsidaceae
Source: the annotation of a RefSeq genome assembly